Molecule: unclassified non-coding RNA, 431 nt
Filed under: Zea mays
Lineage: Eukaryota; Viridiplantae; Streptophyta; Magnoliopsida; Poales; Poaceae
Description: misc RNA Zm00001eb255220
Source: RNAcentral
GCUUCUGGUUCGGCGGCGCCGCGGCCUCGGCCUCGGCCUCGGCCCCGUUGAUCCUGUGGAGGGAGGUCAUGGACGCGGAGCGGCGGCGGCGGAACAUGCCGUUGUAGAUGCCGAACAGGGCGCAGCCGGUCGGCGGGUCGCGCGGCUCCGUCAUGGCGACCAUGACCGUGGCGACGUUCGCGGCCGCGCGGCCCCGGCCCGCGGAGUGCUGCGUGGGGGCGGGGGGAAGGCAGGGGACGAUGUGGGGGGCAGUGCCAAAGAUGGAGAGGCAGCCAGGUGGUGUGCUGGGCGUUUGGUCCUGGUUGACAACCAACGAGGCAACGCAACGACGACGGGCUCCGGACAUGGGGUGGGAAUGUGGGGAGCACGGGGAUUUUUAAAGUUCUCAGUUUCUUCUCCUAUUAUUUUCAGUUUUUUUUUUUGGCUAUGCA